AACCUCCGCAAUGUGAGAAAUCGCGACGGGGGGAUCCCAAGUGCCAUUCUUAACGGGAUGGCUUUUCAUUAGUGUAAAGAGCUUUUGGAAUAAGAGCUGGGCAAGACCGGUGCCAGCCGCCGCGGUAACACCGGCAGCUCUAGUGGUAACAAUUUUUAUUGGGCCUAAAGCGUCCGUAGCCGGUUUAAUAAGUCUCUGGUGAAAUCCUGUAGCUUAACUGUGGGAAUUGCUGGAGAUACUAUUAGACUUGAGACCGGGAGAGGUUAGAGGUACCCCCAGGGUAGAGGUGAAAUUCUGUAAUCCUGGGAGGACCGCCUGUUGCGAAGGCGUCUAACUGGAACGGUUCUGACGGUGAGGGACGGAAGUUAGGGGCGCGAACCGGAUUAGAUACCCGGGUAGUCCUAACUGUAAACGAUGCGGACUUGGUGUUGGGGUGGCUUUGAGCUGCUCCAGUGCCGAAGGGAAGCUGUUAAGUCCGCCGCCUGGGAAGUACGGUCACAAGACUGAAACUUAAAGGAAUU
RNAcentral lists this ribosomal RNA (521 nucleotides) under uncultured bacterium. Its description in RNAcentral is "bacterial SSU rRNA". It matches the Rfam family "Archaeal small subunit ribosomal RNA", at positions 345 to 866 of the family's 1478-position model. The record is from RNAcentral.